This 114-nucleotide ribosomal RNA is filed under the name uncultured bacterium. RNAcentral describes it as "partial 16S ribosomal RNA". It matches the Rfam family "Bacterial small subunit ribosomal RNA", at positions 1373 to 1482 of the family's 1533-position model. The record is from RNAcentral.
CCCGGGCCUUGUACACACCGCCCGUCACACCACGAAAGUUGGCAAUACCCGAAGCCGGUGUUUCCUAACCCGCAAGGGAGGGAGCCGUCGAAGGUAGGGUCAGUGAUUGAGGUG